This 468-nucleotide ribosomal RNA is filed under the name uncultured bacterium. Its description in RNAcentral is "partial 16S ribosomal RNA". It matches the Rfam family "Bacterial small subunit ribosomal RNA", at positions 28 to 507 of the family's 1533-position model. The record is from RNAcentral.
GACGAACGCUGGCGGCGUGCUUAACACAUGCAAGUCGAACGGAAAGGCCCUGCUUUUGUGGGGUGCUCGAGUGGCGAACGGGUGAGUAACACGUGAGUAACCUGCCCUUGACUUUGGGAUAACUUCAGGAAACUGGGGCAAUUACCGGAUAGGAGCUCCUGCUGCAGGGGGGGGGUGGGAAAGUUUCGGCGGUUGGGGAUGGACUCGCGGCUUAUCAGCUUGUUGGUGGGGUAGUGGCUUACCAAGGCUUUGACGGGUAGCCGGCCUGAGAGGGUGACCGGCCACAUUGGGACUGAGAUACGGCCCAGACUCCUACGGGAGGCAGCAGUGGGGAAUAUUGCACAAUGGGCGGAAGCCUGAUGCAGCAACGCCGCGUGCGGGAUGACGGCCUUCGGGUUGUAAACCGCUUUCGCCUGUGACGAAGCGUGAGUGACGGUAAUGGGUAAAGAAGCACCGGCUAACUACGUG